This 250-nucleotide ribosomal RNA is filed under the name uncultured bacterium. RNAcentral describes it as "partial 16S ribosomal RNA". It matches the Rfam family "Bacterial small subunit ribosomal RNA", at positions 524 to 772 of the family's 1533-position model. The record is from RNAcentral.
UACGGGGGGGGGCAAGCGUUGUUCGGAAUUACUGGGCGUAAAGGGCGCGUAGGCGGCUCGCUAAGUCGGAUGUGAAAACUCUGGGCUCAACCCAGAGCCUGCAUUCGAAACUGACGAGCUGGAGUUCUGGAGGGGAAAGCGGAAUUCCUGGUGUAGCGGUGAAAUGCGUAGAUAUCAGGAGGAACACCGGUGGCGAAGGCGGCUUUCUGGACAGAAACUGACGCUGAUGCGCGAAAGCUAGGGGAGCAAA